UCUUUGUACUCGUAGUUGGUGCACAUGAAAUAAAACCAAGGUAAAAAAAAACUGCCUUCGAAAAUAUUCCCAUAGAAAGGCAGUUUCUCUGUUCUACUUUUGAAACCCCCCAGGCAAAAUUCACAAGCACUUCUCUUGAAUUCCAUCUUUUUAUAUUCAUCAUUAUAACAUCUCAGAAGACAUAUUUUGAUGGUUUCUUGUGGUUGAAGGUUUUCUUGAUGUUCUGCUUACUCGAACGCCCUCUUUUUUUUAGAUAAGAAACCAAGUGAGAAACGUUGGACAAAAUAUGCUGAGAGUUUUUUUUGUUUGUCAAUUCUUCUCACACACUAAUGGUUCACGCAGAUCAGUGAACCCUUCCCAAACACUGUUUAAAGAAAACAGGUCCGACAAGUACGUUUUGGGCCCAAACCAUCAAUUAGGGGUCAGCAAAAAUAUUGGCGACAAAACAACACAGUAGCAUGCAAAUACAGUCAAUCUUAAAUGGCGUGUAUGUAUUUAUGUAUGUAUUUAUGUAUGUAUGUGUGUGUGUGUUUAUGAUAACUUCAUAUGAGUCCACACUUCCCGGGUGCUAAAGAAUCUUAGUUUGAGCAGGUUUCGAAAAAGAUACACAUCUCAGUACAUACAAAAUGGUUUCUCCCUCAAUCUGUAUGUUGCCUUGAGGAUUAAAAUCAUACUGCGUAGAAAGGGGCAAAUAAGUGGUCGGUCAAAACAACAACAGCAAGCACUGAAAUGCCUAAUUGGUUUAAGAAAUCGCCCGACGCUGGAAAUAGCGCCUUCUAUAGUGAGGCUAUGUACGGCAUGUAUUUCGGACCAAACGAUGAGCCGCCGCCAUCCACGACUACCACAAUAUGUACAAUGGUUAUCCUGUGCGCCUCCAUCGUGUUCCUCAUCGUCUUCGCCAUUGUUGUGAACUAAAUGUGUGAUAGGAGGAGGAAGCAGAGCGGUAAGAAGAAAUGGAGAUGACAUCCAUUGGACACAAAGUACAAUGACAUGCGCACUUCAUUCGUACAACAUGGUCGACACAUCCGGCUUCAUCAACACCAUCGAAGCGUUACUAGUCAACAGCUUCAGGCACCAUCUGAGGCCACUCUGAUAAGAAAUGUAUAACUACUAUGGGCACUGUUCGUAGGAUUUAUCUUGGGUGUGUUGAUAGCAUAAUAAGUUUAUUGUAGCUGUGGUGUGGUUUGUGGCAUCGAGCUAAAUUUGUGGAAUAGCAAAGUAGCUAUUAUAAACACGUUUUUGUGUGAUUUAACGUAAGUGUGUGGUGCUCUGAAUGCAUAUGAAGCAUAAGAGGAAUUACCUGUAGUUUCCUUUCUAAAUCCCUUUGUGUAAUUAUUUGAUGUCGUGAUACGUUCGAAAUCUAUACCGAACUGACCUGUAUGGCUAACACAUAAUAUCGCCUGAUAUCGCUUGUUACGACAUCGUUGCGUAUCCUUAUUAACAUACCUUAAGCUGUUGAUCCAAAAUGGGAAGCAUCAACAUUACAUGGAUUAGGUCAAUGACAAUUUUUAUGUGUCACAGACAGACAUAUGCAUGUUAAAUGAUUUACCAUGCACAGUUUAAAACCUUCAGUGCACUAAAUAGAUUUAAGAUUUCUCAAGAGAUGAACUCAAGAUAUCAGUAUAGCAACUUGAUUUCUGUCGAAAACACUAGCAAGAAGCAUUGACCGGACCCAGGCUUUGCCUAUCGGACUGACUGUCUGAAGCUGAAACACUUGUUAGAUGACGUUACGGCGGAUGCUCAAGAACACAAGACAUUUCAAAAACUCUUACAUAUUUGCAGACGAAGGAACGCAGGACUUUCGUGGAUUCAUCGGUGGUAGUGAUUCUUCUAUCGUUCUUUGUGUAUUUUUUUUACAUUUCAUUAAUAAACAACUACAAAAAAUCGUU
Long non-coding RNA from Branchiostoma floridae (Florida lancelet), 1889 nucleotides. RefSeq lists it as uncharacterized. Lineage: Eukaryota; Metazoa; Chordata; Leptocardii; Amphioxiformes; Branchiostomatidae. The transcript is spliced from 2 exons. The record is from RefSeq and is a predicted model, not a curated record.